ACGCUGGCGGCACGCCUAACACAUGCAAGUCGAACGAAGUAGCAAUACUUAGUGGCAGACGGGUGAGUAACAUGUAGGUAUCUUCCCUUUGGCCUGGAAUAACACGAGGAAACUUGUGCUAAUACCGGAUAAGUCUUCACGGAGAAAGCUUUAUGCACCAUUGGAUGAGCCUGCACUUGAUUAGUUAGUUGGUAGGGUAAUGGCCUACCAAGACUUUGAUCAAUAGCUGAUUUGAGAGGAUGAUCAGCCACAUUGGGACUGAGACACGGCCCAAACUCCUACGGGAGGCAGCAGUGGGGAAUCUUGCACAAUGGAGGAAACUCUGAUGCAGCGAUGCCGCGUGAGUGAAGAAGGCCUUUGGGUUGUAAAGCUCUUUCGUCGGGGAAGAAAAUGACUGUACCCGAAUAAGAAGGUCCGGCUAACUUCGUGCCAGCAGCCGCGGUAAUACGAAGGGACCUAGCGUAGUUCGGAAUUACUGGGCUUAAAGAGUUCGUAGGUGGUUGAAAAAGUUGGUGGUGAAAUCCCAGAGCUUAACUCUGGAACUGCCAUCAAAACUUUUCAGCUAGAGUUUGAUAGAGGAAAGCAGAAUUUCUAGUGUAGAGGUGAAAUUCGUAGAUAUUAGAAAGAAUACCAAUUGCGAAGGCAGCUUUCUGGAUCAUUACUGACACUGAGGAACGAAAGCAUGGGUAGCGAAGAGGAUUAGAUACCCUCGUAGUCCAUGCCGUAAACGAUGUGUGUUAGACGUUGGAAAUUUAUUUUCAGUGUCGCAGCGAAAGCGAUAAACACACCGCCUGGGGAGUACGACC
This 806-nucleotide ribosomal RNA is filed under the name uncultured Pelagibacteraceae bacterium. RNAcentral's name for it is "bacterial SSU rRNA". It matches the Rfam family "Bacterial small subunit ribosomal RNA", at positions 33 to 887 of the family's 1533-position model. The record is from RNAcentral. Lineage: Bacteria; Pseudomonadati; Pseudomonadota; Alphaproteobacteria; Candidatus Pelagibacterales; Candidatus Pelagibacteraceae.